UACGGAGGAUGCAAGCGUUAUCCGGAUUUAUUGGGUUUAAAGGGUGCGCAGGUUGUUUGAUAAGUCAGUGGUGAAAGUCUGUCGCUUAACGGUAGGAUUGCCAUUGAUACUGUUGGACUUGAAUAUGGAUGAGGUAUGCGGAAUGUGUAGUGUAGCGGUGAAAUGCGUAGAUAUUACACAGAACACCGAUUGCGAAGGCAGCUUACUAAUCCAUCAUUGACGCUGAGGCACGAAAGCGUGGGGAUCAAACA
This 251-nucleotide ribosomal RNA is filed under the name uncultured prokaryote. Its description in RNAcentral is "partial 16S ribosomal RNA". It matches the Rfam family "Bacterial small subunit ribosomal RNA", at positions 524 to 774 of the family's 1533-position model. The record is from RNAcentral.